RNAcentral lists this ribosomal RNA (250 nucleotides) under uncultured bacterium. RNAcentral describes it as "partial 16S ribosomal RNA". It matches the Rfam family "Bacterial small subunit ribosomal RNA", at positions 524 to 773 of the family's 1533-position model. The record is from RNAcentral.
UACGAAGGACCCGAGCGUUAUCCGGAUUUAUUGGGUUUAAAGGGUGCGUAGGCGGAACAGUAAGUCAGUGGUGAAAGCCUGUUGCUUAACAACAGAACUGCCAUCGAUACUGCUGAUCUUGAGUACAUAUGAUGUGGGCGGAAUGUGCCAUGUAGCGGUGAAAUGCUUAGAUAUGGCACAGAACACCGAUUGCGAAGGCAGCUCACAAAACUGUUACUGACGCUGAGGCACGAAAGCGUGGGGAUCAAAC